GGAGAGGUGUCCGAGUGGCCGAUGGAGCAUGACUCGAAAUCAUGUUAGCGCGUGAGCGCUACCAGGGUUCAAAUCCCUGCCUCUCCGCCA
RNAcentral lists this transfer RNA (90 nucleotides) under Clostridiales bacterium. Its description in RNAcentral is "tRNA-Ser". It matches the Rfam family "tRNA". From Rfam's summary of the family: Transfer RNA (tRNA) molecules are approximately 80 nucleotides in length. Lineage: Bacteria; Bacillati; Bacillota; Clostridia; Eubacteriales. The record is from RNAcentral.